This 795-nucleotide small RNA is filed under the name Pan troglodytes (chimpanzee). RNAcentral describes it as "processed transcript". Lineage: Eukaryota; Metazoa; Chordata; Mammalia; Primates; Hominidae. The record is from RNAcentral.
ACUGGCGAUGGCUGCCUGGUCCUACUUUCUCUCUCAAACUGGCUUUUUCUCAUUCCUUUGACUCCGCCAGACUUCCUCGCCCCCAUGACCUGGUGUUGUGUCUGAUCACCCCAACAUUCCUGGCUGCCCAAUGUGGGGCAAUGAAGACCCCAGUGAAGGAAUGCUAGAGUGUGUGAAAGCGGAGGAUGCAUCGUCAAAGGACACCCGAGGACGUCUCAAAGAAGCUCGGCGGGAAAGCUGAGCGCUCGGAAGAACCAAGAACUAAGAUCAGAAUUGUUUGAAUCAUCAGAAUCGUCUCUUUUGAAAAAUCGAUUCAUCAAAUGAAUCUUCAGCCAACAACUGUUCAAGAAGGAUGCAAAUAUCGCAGUGUUAGAUGAACUUUCUCGUUGACCCCUGACAGGAAGAGCCUCUGUAUUGGACCACCAUGUUUGUGCUCACUAUGUAGUAACAAACCAACACACCAAAAUAGCAGGAGUUGCCACUGACAAAGAGUUGAAUGAUCAAAUGACGGCCAAAGGAGGAGGUUCCGAGAAGUAAAGCUUUGGAGGUCACAAAAUUAGCAAUAGAAGCUGGGUUCCGCCAUAUAGAUUCUGCUCAUUUAUACAAUAAUGAGGAGCAGGUUGGACUGGCCAUCCGAAGCAAGAUUGCAGAUGGCAGUGUGAAGAGAGAAGACAUAUUCUACACUUCAAAGCUUUGGUCCACUUUUCAUCGACCAGAGUUGGUCCGACCAGCCUUGGAAAACUCGCUGAAAAAAGCUCAAUUGGACUAUGUUGACCUCUAUCUUAUUCAUUCUCC